GGUGUUUUUUAGGUCCAUAUGAGCAGCAGGAUCUUUACCUAGGACCCUCUCAACUCAAAAGAAGGGUCAGACUUCAUUUCAUUUCUGAAAAUGAAAACCAAGGUCACGCACUUGGGAGCUAGAUCAUUGUAAAAGGGAGUGCCUGUUUCAGCUGGCCAUUCCCAGGUAUUGUUUUACCAAGUAGAUAUUUGAAAGUGGCACCAGCUUCCCUUGGCAAAAUCAUGUGUGGAUAGCAUUGAAUGAUCUUUGAGGCAGUGAUUGAAUUGCGGCUGUUGACAUUUUCACUAAGUGCAUUGGUAGAAGCAAUUGCUGGGAAGUUAGUCACGCCUCAAUCUGUGGGCUGCCCCCCAACUGGAAAAUGAAGAGAAGGAAGAGGAGAGUAAAGCAGAUGUAAACUCACUGCUGUCACAUUGCUGUUGCAAUGACUUGAUUGAUAAUCAAUAAAAGAUGUGCAAGAAGCUUGGACGAUCAGUAACCCUGUGGGCAGGUAAGAUUUGUGACUUCUUUUUCAUGUUGGUGGCUCCUGAUGGCCUGAGGAGCUCUCCUGUCAAUUCUAGGGACAUGGAUAGUUAUAUCUGUGUAUCAGUUUGGAUUGCUUUUAAAUACCAGUAAUAAAAAAAAUGGACUACUAAUAACUAAGCAAAUAGGAAUUUAUGUUUCUCAUUGAGCAAAAAAGUUGAAAGGUAGGUAGGUCCAAGGCUGGUGCAAUGCUCCUUGAUGUCAGAGAACCUCAAGGCUUCUCCUUCCUUACCACUCUUCAUACCUCGUCUAUCAACUCUUGCCUCAAUGACACAAGAUAGCUGCUUCAGCUCCAGGUGUCCUACUCGAGCCCAAGGCAGGAAAAAUUUGAGAAGAGGAAAGAAGCUUUAAAUGUUGGCUUAGCCAGAGAAACCUGGGACAUGAUUUUGGUCCUGAAGCAAUAAAAAUUAAUUAAUUUUUUUGUUUGUUUUUUGUCCUUUUAGGGCCACACCUGAGGCAUAUGGAGGUUCCCAGGCUAGGGGUCUAAUCGGAGCUACAGCUGCUGGCCUACACCAGAACCACAGCAACACCAGAUCCAAGCUGUGUCUUCGACUUCACCACAGCUCACGGCAACCCACUGAGCAAGGCCAGGGAUCAAACACACACCUCAUGGUUCCUAGUUGGAUUUGUUUCUGCUGUGCCAUGAUGGGAACUCCCAAGAAAAAUUAAUUUUAAACCCAGAAACAUUUUGGUCUUCUCUAAACUUAUCCAGGCCAGAGAUUCUUGGCAACCUUAACAUCUUCCCCCCUGAUAACCUGGUUCCAGAAAUUUUUUUUUACCAAAACAGAGCUGUAAGCCAUCAUAAAGCAGGACUUUUUUUUGUUUUUUUGUUUUUCUAUGGCUGCUUAAAAUAUUUGUAGCAUUUAAAAGUCCUGCUUUGGGAGUUCCCGUUGUGGCUCAUGUAUCCAUGAGGAUGUGGGUUUGAUCUCUGGCCUCCCUCGGUGGGUUAAGGAUCCAGUGUUGCCAUGAGCUGUGGUGUAGGUUGCAGACGUGGCUUGGAUUCCCUGUUGCUGUGGCUGUGGUAUAGGCUGACAGCUGUAGCUCCGAUUCUACCCCUAGCUUGGGAACUUCCAUGUACCGUGGGUGAGGCCCAAAAAAGAAUUAAAAAGGGGAAAAAAAUGUAAGAGAAAGUUGGUGGAGUAAUUUAUCCUGGAAUUAGAAGCAAUCUGCCUACUAGCCUAUUUUGUCAUCACUUCCCAACUAGGAUUUCAGAGCACUGGCUCCUUGAGCAAAAGAAUGAGUCACCAAUUGCAAAGUCCCAUCCUCUCAUCAGCUCGCAGUGAAACUCUGAGGCACGGGCUGCGGGGUGCUCCAGCCCGGUGAGGUCUAUGCCAGGGCCUCCACCCCCACCAGCUGGAUGGACUGCUUUAUUGCUCGGCAAACAGGCAACUCCCUUCCCUCUUUGCGUGAUUGCACCCCUCAACAUCAACUGUCAUCUGAGCACCCUUUGCUUUAAUUCCACUUGCCACAGAAAAGAUACAAGGAGCCAGCACUAGGUCAACAUGAUCCUCUUAUAAUCACCCCUUUCAAAGGGACUGGCAGAUAAAAUGCCCACAUCAGGCGAGGGCUUACUUCAAGUCCUGGAGGCAUCUGCUAACACUAACUGGCAGCCUGGUCAGCAAACACACUGAGCAAAGAUGUGCUAAUAAUGCCUAGCUUUUUCUUUGGCAUAAAGCUCCCCUAAUCCUCCGGUACACAUGGCGCUUCCCAACAGACAGGUGAGGAAACUGAGGCAUUGGUUAAGCAAAUUGUCUGAGCUUGCAAGAGAGCUGAUAUCCAAGUCCAGGCUUCAUCUGGCUCCCAAAUCUAGUCUUACUGUUAGGUAAAAAAGUAAAACGGCCUCUCUUCAUCAUGUGUAGGCUCCUCCAGGAUUGAGAAGGAAAGAUACUAUUUGAAACAAAAUUAUAUUUUCUGAGACAAGAACCAUAUGGUAAUUCAUCCAAUUCUGCUCUCUUUACAGGAUUAUAGAGAAAGUACCUGCUUUCUCAGCACAAACAGUUUUGAUCUGUCACAAGGCUCCCACCCUGCCCUGGAGAUACAGCCCUGCAGAGAGCUGUGCUGUGUGCACAAAGAUAGGAAAACCAGAAGGGCUCUCAGAGAGGUCACAAAGCAAGAAAUGCUCAUUAAUCCUCUAAAAUCUGUUUUACGUGCCUUAGCUUUCCCCUGCAAGAAGGCUGACUCAUGUGUUGAUCUUGACACUUGUAACUUUCUAGCACUUGUUUUUUUGUUUUUAGCCUCACCCUUGGUAUGUGGAAGUUCCCAAGCUAGGGAUCAAACCUGCUCCACAGCAGCGACGCGAGCCACAGCAGUGACAAUGCCAGAUCCCUAAACCUCUGUGCCGCAAGAGAACUCCCUGUUUCUAUCAUCUGUACACAAGGAGCUAGAUACAGAGGGAAGCACAUGAUAAGAAAGGAAGGGAUCAGGAGUUCCUGCUGUGGCACAACGGAGUCUGUGGCGUCUUGGCAGUGUUAGGACACAGGUGCCAUGCUCUGCCAGGCAGAAUAAGUUCAAGGAUCCAGCAUUGUGGCAACCACAAGUGUAGGUCCCAGCUGUGGCUCAGAUCUGAUCCCUGGUCCGGGGACUCCAUUUUAUGCUGUGGGGCAGCCAGAGAGAGAAAGAAAGAGAGAGGGAGAGAGAAAGGAAGAGAGAGAGAAAGGAAGAAAGAGAAAGAGAGAG
Molecule: long non-coding RNA, 3195 nt
Filed under: Sus scrofa (pig)
Lineage: Eukaryota; Metazoa; Chordata; Mammalia; Artiodactyla; Suidae
Description: lncRNA (ENSSSCG00000061716.1)
Source: RNAcentral